AUUAAACGCUGGCGGCAUGCCUUACACAUGCAAGUCGAACGGCAGCACUGGGGCAACCCUGGUGGCGAGUGGCGAACGGGUGAGUAAAGCAUCGGAACGUGCCCUGGAGUGGGGGGAUAACGUAGCGAAAGUUACGCUAAUACCGCAUAUUCUGUGAGCAGGAAGGCAGGGGAUCGCAAGACCUUGCGCUCUGGGAGCGGCCGAUGUCGGAUUAGCUAGUUGGUGGGGUAAAGGCCUACCAAGGCGACGAUCCGUAGCGGGUCUGAGAGGAUGAUCCGCCACACUGGGACUGAGACACGGCCCAGACUCCUACGGGAGGCAGCAGUGGGGAAUUUUGGACAAUGGGCGAAAGCCUGAUCCAGCCAUGCCGCGUGAGUGAAGAAGGCCUUCGGGCGUGUAAAGCUCUUUCGGUGGGAAGAAAUUGCAUGGGUUAAUACCCUGUGUAGAUGACGGUACCUGGAGAAGAAGCACCGGC
This 475-nucleotide ribosomal RNA is filed under the name uncultured bacterium. RNAcentral's name for it is "bacterial SSU rRNA". It matches the Rfam family "Bacterial small subunit ribosomal RNA", at positions 29 to 497 of the family's 1533-position model. The record is from RNAcentral.